Molecule: ribosomal RNA, 504 nt
Filed under: uncultured bacterium
Lineage: Bacteria
Description: partial 16S ribosomal RNA
Rfam family: Bacterial small subunit ribosomal RNA
Source: RNAcentral
ACGAACGCUGGCGGCGUGCCUAAUACAUGCAAGUAGAACGCACAGUUUAUACCGUAGCUUGCUACACCGUAGACUGUGAGUUGCGAACGGGUGAGUAACGCGUAGGUAACCUGCCUGGUAGCGGGGGAUAACUAUUGGAAACGAUAGCUAAUACCGCAUAAUAUUACUUAUUGCAUGAUAAUUAAUUGAAAGGUGCAAUUGCACCACUACCAGAUGGACCUGCGUUGUAUUAGCUAGUAGGUGAGGUAACGGCUCACCUAGGCGACGAUACAUAGCCGACCUGAGAGGGGGAUCGGCCACACUGGGACUGAGACACGGCCCAGACUCCUACGGGAGGCAGCAGUAGGGAAUCUUCGGCAAUGGACGAAAGUCUGACCGAGCAACGCCGCGUGAGUGAAGAAGGUUUUCGGAUCGUAAAGCUCCGUUGUAAGAGAAGAACGGGUGUGAGAGUGGAAAGUUCACACUGUGACGGUAUCUUACCAGAAAGGGACGGCUAACUACGUG